GACGAACGCUGGCGGCGUGCUUAACACAUGCAAGUCGAACGGAAAGGCCCUGCUUUUGUGGGGUGCUCGAGUGGCGAACGGGUGAGUAACACGUGAGUAACCUGCCCUUGACUUUGGGAUAACUUCAGGAAACUGGGGCUAAUACCGGAUAGGAGCUCCUGCUGCAUGGUGGGGGUUGGAAAGUUUCGGCGGUUGGGGAUGGACUCGCGGCUUAUCAGCUUGUUGGUGGGGUAGUGGCUUACCAAGGCUUAGACGGGUAGCCGGCCUGAGAGGGUGGCCGGCCACAUUGGGACUGAGAUACGGCCCAGACUCCUACGGGAGGCAGCAGUGGGGAAUAUUGCACAAUGGGCGGAAGCCUGAUGCAGCAACGCCGCGUGCGGGAUGACGGCCUUCGGGUUGUAAACCGCUUUCGCCUGUGACGAAGCGUGAGUGACGGUAAUGGGUAAAGAAGCACCGGCUAACUACGU
This 467-nucleotide ribosomal RNA is filed under the name uncultured bacterium. Its description in RNAcentral is "partial 16S ribosomal RNA". It matches the Rfam family "Bacterial small subunit ribosomal RNA", at positions 28 to 506 of the family's 1533-position model. The record is from RNAcentral.